UCCUACGGGGGGCAGCAGUAGGGAAUAUUGCUCAAUGGGGGAAACCCUGAAGCAGCAACGCCGCGUGGGUGAAGAAGGUCUUCGGAUCGUAAAACCCUGUUGUUAGAGAAGAAAGUGCGUGAGAGUAACUGUUCACGUUUCGACGGUAUCUAACCAGAAAGCCACGGCUAACUACGUGCCAGCAGCCGCGGUAAUACGUAGGUGGCAAGCGUUAUCCGGAUUUAUUGGGCGUAAAGGGAACGCAGGCGGUCUUUUAAGUCUGAUGUGAAAGCCUUCGGCUUAACCGGAGUAGUGCAUUGGAAACU
This 305-nucleotide ribosomal RNA is filed under the name uncultured bacterium. RNAcentral's name for it is "bacterial SSU rRNA". It matches the Rfam family "Bacterial small subunit ribosomal RNA", at positions 337 to 634 of the family's 1533-position model. The record is from RNAcentral.